RNAcentral lists this ribosomal RNA (253 nucleotides) under uncultured bacterium. Its description in RNAcentral is "partial 16S ribosomal RNA". It matches the Rfam family "Bacterial small subunit ribosomal RNA", at positions 524 to 776 of the family's 1533-position model. The record is from RNAcentral.
UACGUAGGGUGCAAGCGUUAUCCGGAAUUAUUGGGCGUAAAGAGCUCGUAGGCGGUUUGUCGCGUCUGCCGUGAAAGUCCGGGGCUCAACUCCGGAUCUGCGGUGGGUACGGGCAGACUAGAGUGAUGUAGGGGAGACUGGAAUUCCUGGUGUAGCGGUGAAAUGCGCAGAUAUCAGGAGGAACACCGAUGGCGAAGGCAGGUCUCUGGGCCGAAAUUGACGCUGAGGAGCGAAAGCGUGGGGAGCAAACAGG